RNAcentral lists this long non-coding RNA (2166 nucleotides) under Homo sapiens (human). RNAcentral describes it as "non-protein coding lnc-XKR9-1:8". Lineage: Eukaryota; Metazoa; Chordata; Mammalia; Primates; Hominidae. The record is from RNAcentral.
CUCAAAUGUUGCAUUUUCUAAGACCUCCCUGGCCCGCCAUACGCCGAUCCUGAACCUACGAAAACCCAAGACUGCGGGCACGGUGGCUCAUGCCUGUAAUCCCAGCACUUUGGGAGGCCGAGGCGGGCAGAUCACGAGGUCAAGAAGUCGAGACCAGCCUUGCUAACAUGGCGAAACCCUGACUCUACUGAAAAUACAAAAAUUAGCUGGGCGUGAUGGCGUGCGCGCCUGUAGUCCCAGCUGCUCGGGAGGCUGAGGUAGGAGAAUCGCUUCAAUCCGGGAGGUGGAGGUUGCGGUAAGCAGAGAUUGCGCCACUGCACUCUAGCCUGGCGACAGAGACUCCUUCAAAAACAACAACAACAACAACAACAACAACAAAACAAAACCUCCCAAGACCCUAGUGGGCAGACACACAGCCAGCCAGACAUGGAGAGGAGCACAUUAGCAGAAGAAGACGCAAGUGGCUGGUCCUCGAGAGGACGUUGAGAGGAGCAUGCCAGCAGAAGAGCACACAACGACAGGCACCGACACACCACCGGCAGGCCAUGCACCAGCAGAAUGAUGCGGAGUUUGACGGGGCAGUCAGAGAAGAGCCUGGGCCGCCAAGGGGCCCGACUCCAGGGGAAAACCAUCUCCCUUCUGGCUCCCCCAUCUGCUGAGAGCUACUUCUACUCAAUAAAACCUUGCACUCAUUCUCCAAGCCCACGUGUAAUCCGAUUCUUCAGGUAAGCCAGGGCAAGAAACCCCAGGAUACAGAAAUCCUUCUGUCCUUGUGAUAAGAAAGGGGGUGUAAUUGAGCUAACACAAACCGCCUAUAGAUGGCAACCUAAAAGAGCAUCCUGUAACACACGCCCGCCCACUGGGGCUUCAGGAGCUGUAAAUAUUCACCCCUAGACACUGCUGUGCGAUCGGAGCCCCACAGCCUGCCCGCCUGUAUGCUCCCCUAGAGGUCUGAGCAGCAGGGCACUGAAGAAUCGAGCCACACCUCAUCACACACCCUGCGAGGGGGACAAGGGAGCUUUUCCCAUAUCAAGUAGAUUGCCCUGGUGCUGCAGAAGCAGGAAAAACAGGACCUGCCCAUACCCAAGAGCCCGGCAACUCUGGCUAGAGUGAGGCCUGAAAUUGUGUCCGGAAUUGGUGGGUUCUUGGUCUCACUGGCUUCCUCUCAAAAUCACGCUCAAGAGACGCCACAGUUAGAGCACAAAUGUGGAGGAAAAAUGAAGGCAAAGCAAAAUAACAGGCAAGUCUGAAAACAAAAGUGUUGCCAGUCACGCUAAGCCUCAGGCACGCAUUCUGAAUGAAGCUAAAGUUUAAAGUCCCCUCUGAUAGAUUUGUGACUUAAAUGUCCACACUAGCAAGUGUGUUUCUCACAUGGAGAAGUAGCACGAUUUUAUGUCAGGAAAGGGAUGAGAACAUGCUUCUUGAACACAUACAAUGCUGAAGACAUUUCCUGGAAAACCAUUGGCCUUUGCUUAGGACAGUUGCAUCACACAGAGAUGUUUGUGGUUCAGAUUUAUAAGAAACAUGGGAACUGAAGCCAAAGCACUACUUUUGCUCAGUAUAACCAGGUGCCAGAUCUAAAGUGUUAGGCAGGUUCCUAUAUGUAUGUUAGAAAAAAGUUGCCCAAGUUUUGGACAAUUCCUUUUCCAUCUCUCUUACAAGUCAACAAAUCGAAGCAAUAAACUAUUCUCUGAAGAAAACAAAUUUAUUUGGUUGAUUCAAACUUUUAAUGAGACUAUUACUCCCCUGUGUGCCUUUCCUUUCUCUGGUUCUAGAAAUACAUCUAGAAAGGGGGAAAAUGUUAAUAUAUUUUCUACUGACUUUAUAUCACAAAUGCUUAGCUUAGAGGGUGGACUCUGAGGAACAGUGUCCUUUCCAAAUAUUAUAAAACUUUGUGUUCAUUCUGGAAAAACAAACAAAAUUAAUCACAAUGAUUUCCUGCUUUGGAGCAAUGAGAAAUGGGAGGGAAACUUCACCUUUUCAUAGCUUUUGAUGUUUGCACCAUGUGAAUUACCCACCCCCAAAUUUAAAAUACGAAUUUUUGAAAAAGUGUUUACCUCUGAGAAGAGAAACUAGUAGUGAAGAAUGAGGAGCUGUAGAUUUUUAACGAUUCUGAUGUAUUUGCAUUUUUCCCAAUGUUCAUGAAUAAAUAAAUGUGCAUUCAUA